UGUAUCUGAUGUGCACUGUACCAGCCU
RNAcentral lists this non-coding RNA (27 nucleotides) under Mus musculus (house mouse). Lineage: Eukaryota; Metazoa; Chordata; Mammalia; Rodentia; Muridae. The record is from RNAcentral.